This 468-nucleotide ribosomal RNA is filed under the name uncultured Alphaproteobacteria bacterium. Its description in RNAcentral is "bacterial SSU rRNA". It matches the Rfam family "Bacterial small subunit ribosomal RNA", at positions 9 to 524 of the family's 1533-position model. The record is from RNAcentral. Lineage: Bacteria; Pseudomonadati; Pseudomonadota; Alphaproteobacteria.
GAGUUUGAUCGUGGCUCAGAACGAACGCUGGCGGCAGGCUUAACACAUGCAAGUCGAACGCCCCGCAAGGGGAGUGGCGCACGGGUGAGUAACGCGUGGGAAUAUGCCCUUCGGUUCGGAAUAACACAGGGAAACUUGUGCUAAUACCGGAUACGAUCUACGGAUGAAAGAUUUAUCGCCGAGGGAGUAGCCCGCGUAGGAUUAGCUAGUUGGUGAGGUAAUGGCUCACCAAGGCGACGAUCCUUAGCUGGUCUGAGAGGAUGAUCAGCCACACUGGGACUGAGACACGGCCCAGACUCCUACGGGAGGCAGCAGUGGGGAAUAUUGGACAAUGGGGGGAAACCCUGAUCCAGCCAUGCCGCGUGAGUGAUGAAGGCCUUAGGGUUGUAAAGCUCUUUCGCCAGGGAAGAUAAUGACGGUACCUGGAAAAGAAGCCUCGGCUAACUCCGUGCCAGCAGCCGCCGUAAC